GAAACAUCUUCGGGUUGUGAGGUUAAGCGACUAAGCGUACACGGUGGAUGCCCUGGCAGUCAGAGGCGAUGAAGGACGUGCUAAUCUGCGAUAAGCGUCGGUGAGGUGAUAUGAACCGUUAUAACCGGCGAUUUCCGAAUGGGGAAACCCAGUGUGUUUCGACACACUAUCAUUAACUGAAUCCAUAGGUUAAUGAGGCGAACCGGGGGAACUGAAACAUCUAAGUACCCCGAGGAAAAGAAAUCAACCGAGAUUCCCCCAGUAGCGGCGAGCGAACGGGGAGGAGCCCAGAGCCUGAAUCAGUGUGUGUGUUAGUGGAAGCGUCUGGAAAGGCGCGCGAUACAGGGUGACAGCCCCGUACACAAAAAUGCACAUACUGUGAGCUCGAUGAGUAGGGCGGGACACGUGGUAUCCUGUCUGAAUAUGGGGGGACCAUCCUCCAAGGCUAAAUACUCCUGACUGACCGAUAGUGAACCAGUACCGUGAGGGAAAGGCGAAAAGAACCCCGGCGAGGGGAGUGAAAAAGAACCUGAAACCGUGUACGUACAAGCAGUGGGAGCCUCUUAAUGGGGUGACUGCGUACCUUUUGUAUAAUGGGUCAGCGACUUAUAUUCUGUAGCAAGGUUAACCGAAUAGGGGAGCCGAAGGGAAACCGAGUCUUAACUGGGCGUUAAGUUGCAGGGUAUAGACCCGAAACCCGGUGAUCUAGCCAUGGGCAGGUUGAAGGUUGGGUAACACUAACUGGAGGACCGAACCGACUAAUGUUGAAAAAUUAGCGGAUGACUUGUGGCUGGGGGUGAAAGGCCAAUCAAACCGGGAGAUAGCUGGUUCUCCCCGAAAGCUAUUUAGGUAGCGCCUCGUGAAUUCAUCUCCGGGGGUAGAGCACUGUUUCGGCAAGGGGGUCAUCCCGACUUACCAACCCGAUGCAAACUGCGAAUACCGGAGAAUGUUAUCACGGGAGACACACGGCGGGUGCUAACGUCCGUCGUGAAGAGGGAAACAACCCAGACCGCCAGCUAAGGUCCCAAAGUCAUGGUUAAGUGGGAAACGAUGUGGGAAGGCCCAGACAGCCAGGAUGUUGGCUUAGAAGCAGCCAUCAUUUAAAGAAAGCGUAAUAGCUCACUGGUCGAGUCGGCCUGCGCGGAAGAUGUAACGGGGCUAAACCAUGCACCGAAGCUGCGGCAGCGACACUAUGUGUUGUUGGGUAGGGGAGCGUUCUGUAAGCCUGUGAAGGUGGCCUGUGAGGGUUGCUGGAGGUAUCAGAAGUGCGAAUGCUGACAUAAGUAACGAUAAAGCGGGUGAAAAGCCCGCUCGCCGGAAGACCAAGGGUUCCUGUCCAACGUUAAUCGGGGCAGGGUGAGUCGACCCCUAAGGCGAGGCCGAAAGGCGUAGUCGAUGGGAAACAGGUUAAUAUUCCUGUACUUGGUGUUACUGCGAAGGGGGGACGGAGAAGGCUAUGUUGGCCGGGCGACGGUUGUCCCGGUUUAAGCGUGUAGGCUGGUUUUCCAGGCAAAUCCGGAAAACCAAGGCUGAGGCGUGAUGACGAGGCACUACGGUGCUGAAGCGACAAAUGCCCUGCUUCCAGGAAAAGCCUCUAAGCAUCAGGUAACAUCAAAUCGUACCCCAAACCGACACAGGUGGUCAGGUAGAGAAUACCAAGGCGCUUGAGAGAACUCGGGUGAAGGAACUAGGCAAAAUGGUGCCGUAACUUCGGGAGAAGGCACGCUGAUAUGUAGGUGAAGCGACUUGCUCGUGGAGCUGAAAUCAGUCGAAGAUACCAGCUGGCUGCAACUGUUUAUUAAAAACACAGCACUGUGCAAACACGAAAGUGGACGUAUACGGUGUGACGCCUGCCCGGUGCCGGAAGGUUAAUUGAUGGGGUUAGCGGUAACGCGAAGCUCUUGAUCGAAGCCCCGGUAAACGGCGGCCGUAACUAUAACGGUCCUAAGGUAGCGAAAUUCCUUGUCGGGUAAGUUCCGACCUGCACGAAUGGCGUAAUGAUGGCCAGGCUGUCUCCACCCGAGACUCAGUGAAAUUGAACUCGCUGUGAAGAUGCAGUGUACCCGCGGCAAGACGGAAAGACCCCGUGAACCUUUACUAUAGCUUGACACUGAACAUUGAGCCUUGAUGUGUAGGAUAGGUGGGAGGCUUUGAAGUGUGGACGCCAGUCUGCAUGGAGCCGACCUUGAAAUACCACCCUUUAAUGUUUGAUGUUCUAACGUUGGCCCGUAAUCCGGGUUGCGGACAGUGUCUGGUGGGUAGUUUGACUGGGGCGGUCUCCUCCUAAAGAGUAACGGAGGAGCACGAAGGUUGGCUAAUCCUGGUCGGACAUCAGGAGGUUAGUGCAAUGGCAUAAGCCAGCUUGACUGCGAGCGUGACGGCGCGAGCAGGUGCGAAAGCAGGUCAUAGUGAUCCGGUGGUUCUGAAUGGAAGGGCCAUCGCUCAACGGAUAAAAGGUACUCCGGGGAUAACAGGCUGAUACCGCCCAAGAGUUCAUAUCGACGGCGGUGUUUGGCACCUCGAUGUCGGCUCAUCACAUCCUGGGGCUGAAGUAGGUCCCAAGGGUAUGGCUGUUCGCCAUUUAAAGUGGUACGCGAGCUGGGUUUAGAACGUCGUGAGACAGUUCGGUCCCUAUCUGCCGUGGGCGCUGGAGAACUGAGGGGGGCUGCUCCUAGUACGAGAGGACCGGAGUGGACGCAUCACUGGUGUUCGGGUUGUCAUGCCAAUGGCACUGCCCGGUAGCUAAAUGCGGAAGAGAUAAGUGCUGAAAGCAUCUAAGCACGAAACUUGCCCCGAGAUGAGUUCUCCCUGAGACUUAGAGUCUCCUGAAGGAACGUUGAAGACGACGACGUUGAUAGGCCGGGUGUGUAAGCGCAGCGAUGCGUUGAGCUAACCGGUACUAAUGAACCGUGAGGCUUAACCUU
RNAcentral lists this ribosomal RNA (2924 nucleotides) under Escherichia coli 9.1649. RNAcentral's name for it is "bacterial LSU rRNA". It matches the Rfam family "Bacterial large subunit ribosomal RNA". The record is from RNAcentral. Lineage: Bacteria; Pseudomonadati; Pseudomonadota; Gammaproteobacteria; Enterobacterales; Enterobacteriaceae.